AAUAACUGACAGCAUAUGCAACAACUAAUUGACGCUCCCUCGUUUCAAGGGGCAGCGAGGUCGCGUUCACAAAAUAUUUAUCUUUACUCCGUUACACACCUUUCAUCUCUGCAGCGAUAUUCGUGGAUUUCGAGAACAUCCUAUCCUCACACACACUUCUGUCCUAAAGAAUGCUAUACGCAUAGCCGUUGAUCAAGAACGAUUCUUUUGUUCUAGUGUUUGUCGUUUGGGCCCAUCAGGGGCUCUUUCUUUUAUUCCCAGAACGUUCGACGGAACGGAGUGUUCGCGCGUAUCCGCCGUUUUUGCCCACAAAAAUAACGUGGAAAAAUUAGAUUUUCGGAAAACCUAAACCCAAGUCAAACGGGAAUAGGUAAUAUAUUAGUAGUUCGUUAGGACAGUUGUUGUGCCAAGUUGUAAGAGCUAGAGCGGAUAAAAGAACGAACGAAAAGAAAGAGACGCUGUGCAGUCUCGUUUGUGCGUUCUGGAGGAACCUGAACCAACGGUGCGUGGUUUGGUUCGAGAAUCAAGCAGGAUUGUAAAUCCCACUAAACGUGGGUGCUAGUCAGGGAUACUAGCCUGUAGAACGAGUCCGGUCCCGGUCCCGAGGCCAAAGAAGUAUCCGACUAAUUCCGGUUUUCGGCUAAGUCAAACCUAGUUCCGAAUCAGUUCUUUCACGGGACUCCUGCCAAAACCUGGGAAUAUUUCGCUUUGUCAAGCAACUUGCUUCGUGUGACGGAAGUCGAAUUUCGUGGUGUCACCCGCUGUAAUAGGCCGAUUCGAUCGUAAACAUCGUACAGCGAGAGCCUUCGACACUCGUGUCGCAUCAAUCAAAUCCGUAUUGCAAGAAGACUGGCUUCUUUUUGAAGACGACCGUCAGCUGAGAUCCUGUUUCACCGGUUCGUGUUUAGAACCCAACUGUAUCGUGAGGUGGCUACAGCCUGGUGGGUUCCAUAAACCCGGAGAAUAUCGAGCUACGUGUGUUUUACUCGGACGCGAGUACACGAGCCGAUUUACCAUCAGCAAACCUUCCAAGGCAGUUUAGUCGAGCCCGAAUCGACAAGGUGGAUCGAUUCACCAACAGGAAGGAACUACUACGAGGGAGUUCGCCGCAUCGUUCCAGAGGAAGCAGAAUGAAAAACAUUCUAAGGUCAGAUCAAACCAUUAUAUUUACCUUACAACUACCUUUUAUCUACCAUAUAUAACUAUGUAUAACAGUUAGGAAAGGGGCCCCCCAAAAGUUUAGUAGAGAGAAUAUAAAGAUGUAAACUGUAAAAAAAUUUGCUCGUCACUUGGUUUUCUGAGAACGUUCUGUAGAUACUUUCAUUUAACUUUUUUUUAGUCCGUAUGCAAUUGAAUUUUUCUAGAUUGGUCGGCCUGUUCCAACCUUUCCAAUCCUUAAGUUUUUGGUUUCCAUUGAGUGGGACUGAAUUGAUUAAAGGUUUACGUUUGAGUCACUACUUGAAACCCGCCUUGGGAGUCUUAAGCCGGUGUGAACUCGUACCCUCAGCCUUCCCUUGGGGAAG
Uranotaenia lowii is the source of this 1523-nucleotide long non-coding RNA. RefSeq lists it as uncharacterized. NCBI's taxonomy places the organism in Eukaryota, Metazoa, Arthropoda, Insecta, Diptera, Culicidae. The transcript is spliced from 3 exons. The record is from RefSeq and is a predicted model, not a curated record.